RNAcentral lists this long non-coding RNA (635 nucleotides) under Pandoravirus salinus. RNAcentral describes it as "putative ncRNA". The record is from RNAcentral.
ACCAACGGCAGCGAGGCGUAUUCGCGCGCCGCCGCCGGGGUCGACCCGCGCAACAGCGUAAAGGCCGGCCGCGGACCCAUCGUCGCAAUGGAUUCCGCCAGGUCGGGCGCGAUCGCGCCGUGGGCAGCAGCAUGAGGCGGUGCGACGAGGAUCGGCAUCGGCAUCUCGACACUCACGGGCUGUCCGCGGUGCAUCAACUCACAGGGGGCCGGCGCAUGGUACACUGGUGCUUGGUGUUGCGUCGGCGGGUGAUGUGUACGAUGCAAGGGCGACGGUGGCUGCGCGGGCGCCGAGAGACUGGUCGGCGGACGCAACGACGGCAGGGGCGACCGCAAGGGGUCCCGGCGACGCCACCGCCCGCGGACAUCAUCGAAAUCGGCGACGUCUGUCUCUUUGUCGCUGUCGGACAAGAGGAUGGUGUCACUAUGUCGAGAUGAUGAUGGUGACGAUGAUGGUGACGAUGAAGACGAAAAAGACGGGGAUGUUGUGUACGACGACGACGACGAUGAAUCAGAUGACAGAGGCGACGAUGGAGGUGAUGGCGAUGAUGGCGUUGAUGAUGUCGCUGACGACGAAAGUGUCGAUAGAAACGUGUCGCUCGCGGUGGUUGUGGUGGUCGUGGUGUCUGUGGAUCG